RNAcentral lists this ribosomal RNA (484 nucleotides) under uncultured bacterium. RNAcentral's name for it is "partial 16S ribosomal RNA". It matches the Rfam family "Bacterial small subunit ribosomal RNA", at positions 30 to 507 of the family's 1533-position model. The record is from RNAcentral.
AUUGAACGCUGGCGGCAGGCCUAACACAUGCAAGUCGAGCGGAUGAAGGGAGCUUGCUCCUGGAUUCAGCGGCGGACGGGUGAGUAAUGCCUAGGAAUCUGCCUGGUAGUGGGGGAUAACGUCCGGAAACGGGCGCUAAUACCGCAUACGUCCUGAGGGAGAAAGUGGGGGAUCUUCGGACCUCACGCUAUCAGAUGAGCCUAGGUCGGAUUAGCUAGUUGGUGGGGUAAAGGCCUACCAAGGCGACGAUCCGUAACUGGUCUGAGAGGAUGAUCAGUCACACUGGAACUGAGACACGGUCCAGACUCCUACGGGAGGCAGCAGUGGGGAAUAUUGGACAAUGGGCGAAAGCCUGAUCCAACCAUGCCGCGUGUAUGAAGAAGGUCUUCGGAUUGUAAAGCACUUUAAGUUGGGAGGAAGGGCAGUAAGUUAAUACCUUGCUGUUUUGACGUUACCAACAGAAUAAGCACCGGCUAACUUCGUG